CAUAUGCUUGUCUCAAAGAUUAAGCCAUGCAUGUCUCAGUACAAGCCGCAUUAAGGUGAAACCGCGAAAGGCUCAUUAAAUCAGUUAUGGUUCCUUAGAUCGUACCCACAUUUACUUGGAUAACUGUGGUAAUUCUAGAGCUAAUACAUGCAAACAGAGUUCCGACCGGAGACGGGAGGAAUGCUUUUAUUAGAUCAAAACCAAUCGGCGGCGGGUUCGCGCCCGUUCGCCGCUCAACUUGGUGACUCUGAAUAACUUUCGGCUGAUCGCACGGUCUCGCACCGGCGACGCAUCUUUCAAAUGUCUGCCUUAUCAACUGUCGAUGGUAGGUUCUGCGCCUACCAUGGUCGUAACGGGUAACGGGGAAUCAGGGUUCGAUUCCGGAGAGGGAGCCUGAGAAACGGCUACCACAUCCAAGGAAGGCAGCAGGCGCGCAAAUUACCCACUCCCGGCACGGGGAGGUAGUGACGAAAAAUAACGAUACGGGACUCAUCCGAGGCCCCGUAAUCGGAAUGAGUACACUUUAAAUCCUUUAACGAGGAUCAAUUGGAGGGCAAGUCUGGUGCCAGCAGCCGCGGUAAUUCCAGCUCCAAU
RNAcentral lists this ribosomal RNA (594 nucleotides) under Rhantus sp. Samoa. RNAcentral describes it as "SSU rRNA". It matches the Rfam family "Eukaryotic small subunit ribosomal RNA", at positions 25 to 595 of the family's 1831-position model. The record is from RNAcentral. Lineage: Eukaryota; Metazoa; Arthropoda; Insecta; Coleoptera; Dytiscidae.